This 2973-nucleotide unclassified non-coding RNA is filed under the name Manduca sexta (tobacco hornworm). RNAcentral's name for it is "uPF0430 protein CG31712, transcript variant X1". The record is from RNAcentral. Lineage: Eukaryota; Metazoa; Arthropoda; Insecta; Lepidoptera; Sphingidae.
ACUGACAACGCCAGUCGAGUAAAGAUAUGGCGUCGUUUGUCAAAUUCGGCAAUGUGUGUGUGUAAUUUUCCUUAAAAUAUUGCCAAACUCUUGUGUUUCUCUUUAAAAGUGUUAUUGGUAAUAAACCUGCACUCUCAAAAUGGGUCGGUCGAGAUCGCGGAGUAAAUCUCCUCGACGCCAUCACAAGAGCAGUAAACAUUCGCGAAAGAAGAGUAGAUCAAAAGAUCGCUCGUCGUCUCGAAGCCGAAGCACUAAACAUGCGGAAAAAUCAAAAGAACGUAGUUCUAAAUCUAGAAAACGGUCACAUUCAGUAUCGUCAUCGAGUAGUAGUGGCGGAUCGUAUGAAGGGAAUAGGCACAGGAAAAAGUCCAAGGGACGCAGCAAAAUGGAUGAGGUUGAUAGACUAGCAGAAAUGGAAAGACAACGGCGACUACGAGAAGCUGAACAAAAGGUGGUUGAAGAAGAAGCUGCAAAAAGAAUAGAGUUACUUGUAAAGAAGAGAGUAGAGGAAGAAUUAGAAAAACGAAAAGAUGAAAUUGAACAAGAGGUAGCAAAAAGAGUGGAAGAAGCGAAACGGAAGAUGGAAAAAGAAAUGAUGGAGGAGUUAGAAAGGCAACGGGAGCAGCAAAAGAGAGAGGAGUUAGCUCGACAGGUAACUAUUCCUUUUUUACGCCAGUCAUGUGUAAACGCAAUGGUCAUUGCUCUUGCACAUGACGCCACCUACUGCGAUAGCAAUCAUUAUUGUUCUCGCAGCUUAUGAAACACAUUUAAGUGUAUAUUCAUAAAAUUAAUAAGUGAACAGAAACUAAUGAAAGUAUUAUUUCGAUCAUAUCUGUUAAAGGUCCAGUCAGGUGUAGUUCGAGUGCUUACAAGAAAUUUGUUUCUUGACAUAUUAUAUAUUUGUCACUCACUGAGGCCCGUGGCUACUUAACUUAGAGUUAUCUCCAUUAAAUAUCAUACAUACCAUUUGCACACCCACAAGGCAAUGUAGCUAUAAGUACCGCAUUGUAAGAAUGCCGUGAAUGCGCCGGCUAGCAUUUUAAAAUUUGUUCGCUUGACUGUCCUUGGCAGUCACGUAGUCUAUAAGUCAGGUCGGAAGACUGAACAACAACCUGAAGCCGUAAGAAUUUUAUGGAGACGCAGCUUGAGGAUCCAGACGUGAGUGCUGAAGGAGGAGGAAGCACGUAAAAGGAAAGAGUUGGAGGAAAUCAUGGCUGAAAAUAAUAAAAAGAUUGAAGAAGCUCAGCGCAAGUUGGCCGAAGAGAGGUUAGCAAUGAUCGAAGAACAAAGAAAAAUGGAUGAGGAAAGGCAGAAAUUGAAAAAAGAACAAGAAAAACGAAUAAAAGAGGAACAAAAGAAAAUUUUGGGCAAAAACAACUCUAGGCCUAAAUUGUCGUUUAGUUUGAAACCAAUGUCGUGAGUGAUUGUUGAAUAGUGAGUGCAGUGGGAUACUGCAUGGUGAACUAUGAAAUAAUAAUUUCUAUUAACAUGUCAUGCUCAUUUUGAGCAUAAAUUAAAUAUGGACAAACUCGUAACUUCGUAAAAAAACUGUUAAUAGGUUAUGACAGUUGGUUGUACAGACCAAUAUAAGUGUGGUGCCUUCCUGGUUCACUUCCAAACCUUUAUGUAAUACUAUGUCGUUAAUAGUUUCUCUUUCACUACAAUAAUCUUAAUAUUUGGUCCUGGAAACAACUGAAAUUACAUCAAUCUAAGUUUACAUUUAAUGGUAAUGCUUUCUGUUAUUAUACUGAAAGUAUUGUAGGGUAAUAUCAUUUUGAUAUGUUUGCUUCAAAGAUUAUUUAUCUUCUAGUUUUUAUACAGGGUUAUUUUUACAUUGCAUUACUAAAUGAGACCACAGACUUAUCUUCUUGAAAAUAAUAUUGACAAUAAUUUCAUGAAACCAUAGAUGUAAAAGAAAAGAGUGGAAGUUUUAAACAAAAUAAAUAUCAGUAGAAAUAUAUUUUAAUUUUACACCCCCUAAUGAUACUAGUACUACUAAGAGAAUCGUCGCAGCAAGAACAUCACACUUUCAGCCAGGAAAACACACCAUAUCCGCUCUAUGCUGUAAAAUAAAUAAAAAAUCAAAACAAUAAAACCAGAAUUUUAGGUGGGUAUAAUCGUAAUUCAGGUUGAUUUUUUUGCCCCAAUAUUAGCCAAUGUAUAUGUUUAUGUGGUUUCAUAUAUCACCGCAAUGUCAACAUGACCCUGUGUAUUCUUUUUAGUAUGGACAGAACUACAUAUUGUAAUAGCUCUUAAGCUGUGAUCUCAAUCAUAAAGAGAAUAAUAAACCAACACAGUAUGUGUGUGCUCAAGUUACUAAACCUUAUGUUCUACAGAACAUUAUGAAGUAAAUAACAGUACAUAAUAUCAAGCCAAAUGUGUCCAGUUUAGUGUAACUGACUGAGUGUAUAUUUGAUGUACAUGAUGGUUAUCUCUUAUCAUCCUAACAGCCUCGGCCAAAUUUCCAUUUACGUAAGAUUUUUCGUAUAUUCCUAAUAAACGUGGUUGCAACUUGCAACCCACUGUCCAUACAAUGAAAAAUUUAAUUAAUUUCUGAAAAAAAUUACGCCUUAAUCUAUUAUUGCAAUUAAGUUAUUAGUGUACAUUUUCAGGUUUGUAAAGUAAGAUUAGUAACUUAAGAGUAACAUAGUUGUUUAGAUUUGAUGAUACUUCAUACUGUACUAUUUUAUACAAUUACAAAAAUCAUGCCGUUCAAUUCCCAUAAUAAUUUUUAGUAAUAAGCACAUAAUAAUGUAUUCCACAAUCACAGUUUUUAAUAAAACAAAAUUUCCACAAGUGAUUUACAUCUUAACAUUUUAAAUAAAAUAUAAUAUUCUUACAAAAUAAGUUUCUCCAACCCAGAAAUAAAUAUACUAGUACUUUUCUUUUGUUUCAAAGUAAACAAAAGAUUUUGAUGAUAAAGACACCAUAUUAGAGUUUGUUAUUUUAAUAAAUUAAAUUCUUCGUCUAAUA